This 468-nucleotide ribosomal RNA is filed under the name uncultured bacterium. RNAcentral's name for it is "partial 16S ribosomal RNA". It matches the Rfam family "Bacterial small subunit ribosomal RNA", at positions 28 to 507 of the family's 1533-position model. The record is from RNAcentral.
GACGAACGCUGGCGGCGUGCUUAACACAUGCCAGUCGAACGGAAAGGCCCUGCGUUUGUGGUGUUCUCGAGUGGCGAACGGGGGAGUAACACGUGAGUAACCUGCCCUUGACUUUGGGGUAACUUCAGGAAACUGGGGCUAAGACCGGAUAGGAUCUCCUGCUGCAUGGAGGGGGGUGGAAAGUUUCGGCGGGUGGGGAUGGACUCGCGGCUGAUCAGCUUGUUGGUGGGGUAGUGGCUUCCCAAGGCAGUGACGGGUAGCCGGCCUGGGAGGGUGGCCGGCCACCUUGCGACUGCGAGAGGGACCAGAGUCGAAUGGGAGGCAGCAGUGGGGAACCUUGCACAAUGGGCCCGCGUGUGAGGCAGCAACGCUGCGUGCGGGAUGACGGCCUUCGGGUUGUAAACCGCUUUAGCCUGUGACGAAGCGUGAGUGACGGUACUGGGUAAAGAAGCACCGGCUAACUACGUG